AUGGCUGUCGUCAGCUCGUGUCGUGAGAUGUUGGGUUAAGUCCCGCAACGAGCGCAACCCUUAUCCUGUGUUGCUACCGGGUAAUGCCGGGCACUCUCAGGAGACUGCCGGGGUCAACUCGGAGGAAGGUGGGGAUGACGUCAAGUCAUCAUGCCCCUUAUGUCCAGGGCUGCAAACAUGCUACAAUGGCCGGUACAACGGGCUGCUACCUUGCGAGAGGACGCGAAUCCCUUAAAGCCGGUCUCAGUUCGGAUUGGAGUCUGCAACCCGACUCCAUGAAGUCGGAGUCGCUAGUAACCCCGGAUCAGCUACGCCGGGGUGAAUACGUUCCCGGGCCUUGUACACACCGCCCGUCACACCACGAAAGUCGGUAACACCCGAAGCCAGUGGCCCAACUCGCAAGAGAGGGAGCUGUCGAAGGUGGGAUCGGCGAUUGGGGUGAAGUCGUAACAAGGUAGCCGUACCGGAAGGUGCGGCUGGAUCACCUCCUUUCUAAGGAGUCACCACGUCCUCUCUUUACCGAGGGGGCGACUCCCAGUUGGUGCACUGGCUAGUCCGCUAUUCCGUUCUCUGGGUGCGCCGUUUGUCGCGACACACGCCGGCUUUCCAUCCCCCCGGGGCUUGGGGCCGGCGUUUCCGCGUUCCGUGCGCCGCUCCUUGAGAAUUGCAUAGCGAGCACGAGCAUCUUUGUUCUUCCAAGCUACAAAGAGCCAACGGUGGAUGCCUUGGCGUCUACUACCGAUGAAGGACGUGUCUGGCUGCGAAAAGCCACGGUCAGCUGCCUAGAAAGCGUUAUGAGCCGUGGAUGUCCGAAUGGGGAAACCCGG
This 827-nucleotide small RNA is filed under the name uncultured Actinomycetes bacterium. Its description in RNAcentral is "bacterial SSU rRNA". The stretch from base 1 to 492 matches the Rfam family "Bacterial small subunit ribosomal RNA", at positions 1045 to 1533 of the family's 1533-position model. Lineage: Bacteria; Bacillati; Actinomycetota; Actinomycetes. The record is from RNAcentral.